CAGAGGCGAUGAAGGACGUGCUAAUCUGCGAAAAGCGUCGGUAAGGUGAUAUGAACCGUUAUAACCGGCGAUGUCCGAAUGGGGAAACCCAGUGCAAUUCGUUGCACUAUCGUUAACUGAAUACAUAGGUUAACGAGGCGAACCGGGGGAACUGAAACAUCUAAGUACCCCGAGGAAAAGAAAUCAACCGAGAUUCCCCCAGUAGCGGCGAGCGAACGGGGAGCAGCCCAGAGUCUGAAUCAGCUUGUGUGUUAGUGGAACGGUCUGGAAAGUCCGACGGUACAGGGUGAUAGUCCCGUACACCAAAAUGCACAGGCUGUGAACUCGAAGAGUAGGGCGGGACACGUGGUAUCCUGUCUGAAUAUGGGGGGACCAUCCUCCAAGGCUAAAUACUCCUGACUGACCGAUAGUGAACCAGUACCGUGAGGGAAAGGCGAAAAGAACCCCGGCGAGGGGAGUGAAAAAGAACCUGAAACCGUGUACGUACAAGCAGUGGGAGCACCUUCGGGUGUGACUGCGUACCUUUUGUAUAAUGGGUCAGCGACUUAUAUUCUGUAGCAAGGUUAACCGUAUAGGGGAGCCGCAGGGAAACCGAGUCUUAACUGGGCGUUAAGUUGCAGGGUAUAGACCCGAAACCCGGUGAUCUAGCCAUGGGCAGGUUGAAGGUUGGGUAACACUAACUGGAGGACCGAACCGACUAAUGUUGAAAAAUUAGCGGAUGACUUGUGGCUGGGGGUGAAAGGCCAAUCAAACCGGGAGAUAGCUGGUUCUCCCCGAAAGCUAUUUAGGUAGCGCCUCGUGAACUCAUCUUCGGGGGUAGAGCACUGUUUCGGCUAGGGGGUCAUCCCGACUUACCAACCCGAUGCAAACUACGAAUACCGAAGAAUGUUAUCACGGGAGACACACGGCGGGUGCUAACGUCCGUCGUGAAGAGGGAAACAACCCAGACCGCCAGCUAAGGUCCCAAAGUCAUGGUUAAGUGGGAAACGAUGUGGGAAGGCACAGACAGCCAGGAUGUUGGCUUAGAAGCAGCCAUCAUUUAAAGAAAGCGUAAUAGCUCACUGGUCGAGUCGGCCUGCGCGGAAGAUGUAACGGGGCUAAACCAUGCACCGAAGCUGCGGCAGCGACACUAUGUGUUGUUGGGUAGGGGAGCGUUCUGUAAGCCUGCGAAGGUGACCUGUGAGGGUUGCUGGAGGUAUCAGAAGUGCGAAUGCUGACAUAAGUAACGAUAAAGCGGGUGAAAAGCCCGCUCGCCGGAAGACCAAGGGUUCCUGUCCAACGUUAAUCGGGGCAGGGUGAGUCGACCCCUAAGGCGAGGCCGAAAGGCGUAGUCGAUGGGAAACAGGUUAAUAUUCCUGUACUUGGUGUUACUGCGAAGGGGGGACGGAGAAGGCUAUGUUAGCCGGGCGACGGUUGUCCCGGUUUAAGCAUGUAGGCUGGUUAUCCAGGCAAAUCCGGAUAAUCAAGGCUGAGGUGUGAUGACGAGGCACUACGGUGCUGAAGUAACAAAUGCCCUGCUUCCAGGAAAAGCCUCUAAGCAUCAGGUAACAUCAAAUCGUACCCCAAACCGACACAGGUGGUCAGGUAGAGAAUACCAAGGCGCUUGAGAGAACUCGGGUGAAGGAACUAGGCAAAAUGGUGCCGUAACUUCGGGAGAAGGCACGCUGGUGUGUAGGUGAAGCCCCUGCGGGUGGAGCUGAGACCAGUCGAAGAUACCAGCUGGCUGCAACUGUUUAUUAAAAACACAGCACUGUGCAAACACGAAAGUGGACGUAUACGGUGUGACGCCUGCCCGGUGCCGGAAGGUUAAUUGAUGGGGUUAUCCGUAAGGAGAAGCUCUUGAUCGAAGCCCCGGUAAACGGCGGCCGUAACUAUAACGGUCCUAAGGUAGCGAAAUUCCUUGUCGGGUAAGUUCCGACCUGCACGAAUGGCGUAAUGAUGGCCAGGCUGUCUCCACCCGAGACUCAGUGAAAUUGAACUCGCUGUGAAGAUGCAGUGUACCCGCGGCAAGACGGAAAGACCCCGUGAACCUUUACUAUAGCUUGACACUGAACAUUGAGCCUUGAUGUGUAGGAUAGGUGGGAGGCUUUGAAGCGUGGACGCCAGUCUGCGUGGAGCCAACCUUGAAAUACCACCCUUUAAUGUUUGAUGUUCUAACGUUGGCCCCUGACCGGGGUUGCGGACAGUGUCUGGUGGGUAGUUUGACUGGGGCGGUCUCCUCCCAAAGCGUAACGGAGGAGCACGAAGGUUAGCUAAUCCUGGUCGGACAUCAGGAGGUUAGUGCAAUGGCAUAAGCUAGCUUGACUGCGAGCGUGACGGCGCGAGCAGGUGCGAAAGCAGGUCAUAGUGAUCCGGUGGUUCUGAAUGGAAGGGCCAUCGCUCAACGGAUAAAAGGUACUCCGGGGAUAACAGGCUGAUACCGCCCAAGAGUUCAUAUCGACGGCGGUGUUUGGCACCUCGAUGUCGGCUCAUCACAUCCUGGGGCUGAAGUAGGUCCCAAGGGUAUGGCUGUUCGCCAUUUAAAGUGGUACGCGAGCUGGGUUUAGAACGUCGUGAGACAGUUCGGUCCCUAUCUGCCGUGGGCGCUGGAGAAUUGAGGGGGGCUGCUCCUAGUACGAGAGGACCGGAGUGGACGCAUCACUGGUGUUCGGGUUGUCAUGCCAAUGGCACUGCCCGGUAGCUAAAUGCGGAAGAGAUAAGUGCUGAAAGCAUCUAAGCACGAAACUUGCCCCGAGAUGAGUUCUCCCUGAGACUUUAAGUCUCCUGAAGGAACGUU
This 2776-nucleotide ribosomal RNA is filed under the name Klebsiella pneumoniae. RNAcentral's name for it is "partial 23S ribosomal RNA". It matches the Rfam family "Bacterial large subunit ribosomal RNA". Lineage: Bacteria; Pseudomonadati; Pseudomonadota; Gammaproteobacteria; Enterobacterales; Enterobacteriaceae. The record is from RNAcentral.